Astatotilapia calliptera (eastern happy) is the source of this 671-nucleotide long non-coding RNA. The record is from Ensembl. Lineage: Eukaryota; Metazoa; Chordata; Actinopteri; Cichliformes; Cichlidae.
UCUCACACCACUUGGCUCAUGCUAUAAAAAAGACGCAGGAUCAGACCUGAAGUGACCCACAUCCAGAGGGACCAGGAUGAUGCUUUCCUUUGUCUUUGUUUUUGCGCUGGAUGGUCAAAGUGAAGAUUGGCUUAAAUAACCAAGUACCAUUUUUGAAACAAAUUAAAGUUUUUUUAAAACAAUUUUUUAGGAUCCCCCCAAAAUCUUGAACGGGAUAUUGAUCCUAAACAACAGUUUACCUUCAAAGAAGGUGAUCAACCCCAUGAUAUUAUGCUGAUAAAACUGAAUAGGGUUUGUGAGCACAACUCCAGAUUUUAGUAUGCUCUAGAAUAGCCCCAACAUACCAGAUGAUUGAGACUAUGCUGUAGAAUUUGGGUUUAACUGUCAUUUCUUUCUGUUUUCCAUAAAAAAAAGUUUCACAUUUCAGCCACACUCCCACUUCAUAGAGCACAUAGUGUGAUAUCAAGCUGACCCAUUGUUAAAUGAGCACUGACAAAUCUGUAGAACAAGGCACCUUCAUUUAUGUGAACUAAGUAAAACUCAAGAUCAUAGUAUGUGCUAGAAUUCUGUUUUGUCGGAUCACGUUCAGUUUUGAUGAUACACUUGCAGAGACAUUGUUUCAGCAACCUUAGUGUGUAGGGUCUUGACAUUUAUUUCCAUCCAGAUUUACA